Schistosoma mansoni is the source of this 46-nucleotide non-coding RNA. NCBI's taxonomy places the organism in Eukaryota, Metazoa, Platyhelminthes, Trematoda, Strigeidida, Schistosomatidae. The record is from Rfam.
GCAUUGCUUACGAGUCCCAUAAUAGGACGAAACGGCCGUCCAGUGC